CCUACGGGAGGCAGCAGUGGGGGAUAUUGCACAAUGGGGGAAACCCUGAUGCAGCGACGCCGCGUGUGGGAAGACGGUCCUCUGGAUUGUAAACCACUGUCCCCAGGGACGAAGAUGACGGUACCUGGGGAGGAUGCUCCGGCUAACUGCGUGCCAGCAGCCGCGGUAAUACGUAGGGAGCGAGCGUUGUCCGGAAUUACGGGGUGUAAGGGGAGCGUAGGCGGGACUGCAAGUUGGGUGUCAAAUCUACCGGCUCAACCGGUAGCCGCACUCAAAACUGCAGUUCUUGAGUGAAGUAGAGGCAGGCGGAAUUCCUAGUGUAGCGGUGAAAUGCGUAGAUAUUAGGAGGAACACCAGUGGCGAAGGCGGCCUGCUGGGCUUUUACUGACGCUGAGGCUCGAAAGUGUGGGGAGCAAACAGGAUUAGAUACCCGGGUAGUC
This 440-nucleotide ribosomal RNA is filed under the name uncultured bacterium. RNAcentral describes it as "partial 16S ribosomal RNA". It matches the Rfam family "Bacterial small subunit ribosomal RNA", at positions 338 to 795 of the family's 1533-position model. The record is from RNAcentral.